UGUGAUGAAAUAGGUUGGACGAAGCAUGUGAUGACUUGACUGGAAAGUAGACAGAUCUGACAUGUAACUUAAGUAUGAGAAUAUCAGUUAUGCCGUCCUUAUGCGAAGUAUAUGAUAUCUCAGCAGUGGACCUAUUGAGAAUGAAUUUGGGUUUGAUUUGUUUUACUAUAUUGUACUGGCCAUUCACUUGAACAAAUUGGCAGAAACUUGGCACAGCUAGCAGAAGGCAGAAUUGUGUUUGGUUAUGGCGCAGAUAUAACCAAAUGGAAAAUUCGAUUUGAAACAUGAAUAGUAACACAGUAUGCAAGAAAGGAGUCAUCCCUGGACGUGAAUUGAUUGUUGAUUGUAAAUCCAAUAAAAUGUUUAUCCCAUGGCAGAAUGUCUGGUGUGACAAAACAGAUUGGUUCUGUAUGGUAUAUUGAUUGUAAUACAUGCAGGCCAACCGUGCGAGACGCGGUCUAGAAUUAUUAUGUUGGGUUCAAUGACAUGUGCAGGUUGGUUUGCAGAAGUACGAAAGAAUGCGCCGCAAGAUGCGAAUUGGACAUAAUGCACCAAUUUUAAUCUGUGUGCAUGAUUGCGAGAGGCUUUGCCGCAAAUGGAAAAAUUUAGAAAAGAGAAAAUGAAGUUUUGAUUUAAAAUGAUGUGAUGGACAAUGUGUAAGAAAGGGUAUAUCAAGGUAAAAUGAAAAUGAUGUUUGUUCGUGUUUUCAUUUUCAUUCUACGCCAUUUCGAGUUCGUCUUCCUCUGCAUGCAAAUCUGCUACUUAGUGAUAGAAUCGGUUUGUGCUAUGUCCUCAAGAAUCGUUUAACUUCUUCUGACGAGUUGAUGAUUGCUUACUGUGGAAAUUUUCAACCUGCGCGAUUUUCACCACGCUGUUAACAACUUUCCAUCAGAUGCCUUUCUGUUUGAUAUGGAUGCGCGCGCUCUCUCUCUUCAAGUUGUUAGAUGGUUGAUUUGCAGAUGUAACAAUUUCAGAUGUUUUGAGUGAACGAGUAUUGUAUUCUUGGCAAGGUUAAGAUAUUGAGAACGCGGAGGGAUCUACAAUCGCUUUGAUGGAAUUCCAUUACUGUGGGAUAAACAUCCUGUAACAUCAUCUACCGGUGGACUGGUAAUAUCUGUAUUACAAUUUACAUCCCAAAUACCAAUAUAUUUUCUUUCAUUCUAAUCUGCAUCCUGCGUUCCUCCCGUUGUUUAUUUCAGGGUAAACAAAACCCUGGGGCCAUAAACAGGGUAGGUAGUUUAUUCCUGACAGUAGGUCAAGUAGAACAACUUUGUCUGAAAUAGUGUUGCCGUUCAAUACUAUUCUGAAUCAUGACGCUGAUUAUGCUCCACCUAUUGCUUCUCAUGAUAUCAUUCGAAUUGAUGCGGAUAUGGAGAUACCUCUUUUGAGUCUUUCGUCAAAUGAGGAGAAUCUGGCUAAAGGGGCACAACAGUGGCAGAAUACUAUUACUGGUGUGGGUCAAAGGUUUAACAGUGUACAUGAGUUUUGAGAGACGUUGCGUAAAUAUGCUAUUGCUCAUCAAUUUGCAUUCAAAUAUAAAUAGAAUGAUAGUCAUCGUGUGACUGUUAAAUGCAAAGCAGAAGGUUGCCUUGGGAGAGUUCAUGCUUCGAGGCUGUCAAGUACUCAGUUGAUAUGUGUCGAUGACUAAUAAUUAUCUCGGCGUGGAAUAGCAAAACUAAGAAGACCAUGUCAGGCUGUGUUCCGUCACAGAUAGUUGGCUUGACCAGGACAACCAUGAUAGUGGGAUUGAAUUCAGAAUGACGUUGUUCUGAAGGCCGCUCCGGCUGCGUGAGCCGUAUAUUGCUUACAAUACUAUUCCUUAUACAUUGCUUGCUUGGACUGUGAUUGAGUGAUGAAUGUAUUGUCUUUGCCUCUGUUUUGUAUUUAUGGCUUUCAACGCAAAGCUGCACAUGGAGUUCAUUUUACAGGGAGAUGUUUGUAUGAAUUUGCGUACUGUUGUUUGCUAUCAUUGAGUUACAAUUGCUGAAUCAGAAAUAUACGGCUGCUGGAACAAGUCUACCGCGUGACAGUUUUGAACAAGAUGUCUUAAGUGUUAUUGUGCCUAUUUUCGUCGAAAGUGGAAUUAUACUUCUUUUCUCAUUAACUAAUUGCCUGUCAUUUUCUGUUAGAUUCGCCACGUAAAACUGUUUUGCAGAUGCUCUGUAGGAUCGCCGGCAGUUUGGUACACAUCCGCACUGUGCAUGAAAAGGAAGACGCGAAGCUGGGCUCAUCGAUCCAAGAACUAGAAGAGGCAAGGUUUGAGGUUCCCGACUUGCUCUGUCGAGCUCUACAAGAUCCAAAAUCUGGUUUUGGAUAUGGUAAAUAAAAAUCGAUAGAACUUGGCUCUGCUGUAGUCUAGCCAAUGCAUACUCCUGCUAUCGUAUGGCCACACGACAUAUAUCAAGAGGAACUUUUUAAUACAGUCAAGAAGCUGCUGAGGAUGUCAGCAACUUUCAACUAUAUGUGUUAUCUAUUUAAUGCUAAUUUACAGUUCUUUCUAAUGACCUGAUGAUUAUAUAGUGGUACUCAGUAGCAUUUUUGCAUUACUUUUGUACCUUUUUAUUUUUAUUAUAUUUUACGAUUUUCUAAUUCUAUCUGAGAACCAACUCUCUUCUUUCUUAGGGUCAUUGGUCUUUGGCCAAAAGCCUGCUUUUGUAGAUUUUGGCUUUACUCCUACUCAAACAAGUCCAUUUGGAAGUAACACCCAACAAUCUCAAUCAGCAUUUGGAAGCAGCAAAUUUCUCUUUCUCUUGGAUGCAGAUACUAGCAAGAAAUGCGAGAAAGGUGAGCGCUGAUCGGUUUGAAAGGCUUAAUAACGGUGACGAAAUGUUGGAGGCAAAAGAAGUAACACGAAUGUUCCCAAAAAUUGUAAAAAGUAAAUGGAACAGUGGUAAUGUAUUGUUUUCUGCAGUUGAAUGAGGUUUUGGUUCCUAAUCCAUUCAAUCUUGUGGCACACCAUUCACAUGACCAAUUUUAGAAGUCUAUUUGACAGAAAUCAUUCUGAGGAGCUGAAGAUUUGUCGUUAUGCUGUUAAACAAAGCUGCGGUCAUCUGACAACUACUUUGGAGGACUGGAGUAAAUUGUUUUGAAUUAUUAAAUAAAUUCAUUGUGGGGCUAAACUAAAAACAAGAUGUAUCAAAGGUUAGUAAUAUAAAUUCUAAGUAUCAAAAAUACACAUUGAGACUUGUCCUUAUUAGGGGGGUGAGGCUGGGUUUCAUUUUUCUCCAUUUCUCUUUUGGCUCUUGCUGAGGUGUUGUAGGUUUUUGAUGUAGUUCUUCUCUCUAUUGCCCUUAGUUGUAGCAGCACUUCUGCAUUGCUUAUGGUGUAUUCUACUUUUGCCCCUCCUUUGUGUGAAUUUCAGUAAACUUUUGUAAAUGUUAUAUAUAAUGGUGCUUUCUCAGUGUUGUACUCUUGAUUCUUUUGGUCAUGCUUAAUGUAAUUGGUAGGGAGCUGUACACAAGGAGCGUUCUGGAUUUGAGGGCCCAUGGACUUCAAAUCCUCUCAUUUUUUACAACUCAUACUUCACACUUAAUCGCUUGCUGCCGAUGAUGUUCAUGGCUCAUCAUGGAGUCCUUCUCACAUAGGCGAUGGUUCUGCAGCUUCUCCUAGACAACCCGAUGACACUACAUCGACUUCAGAGGGAACUGAUCAUGGUUGUCGGGAUCUCGCUCUAACUCCCAAAAACUUACGAUCUUACGCUCCAGCAACCGGCCACCGAUUUAAGUGGCACAAAGAUCUUAAAUUUGGCUGGAGCUUUGAACUCCUAGAGAAAGAUCUUUAAAUCGUGGGAUCUUGAGAACCCAACGAUCCAUUAUUUGUUUUUACCCGCUUUAGACCUGUUUCGACCAGAUCAUUAAACAACUGGAAUCGGCCCAUAAACUGACCCAUAAUUAACCCUGACUGUUGUGCACACAUAUUUUAAGGUUUUGAGACUUGCAAUGUUUUAAAUGACCUUCUAUUAUGUUAUUUUUGUAUAAAAUAUUUGCUAUUGAUGAUUAAAUUAAUGAGAAUUUUAUGUUAAAGUAAUUUUUCCUAGCUAUUUCUAUAAUUUUGUCUAUUUGUUGGGAUCUUACAAUCUGUGUUACGAUCCUACGAUUUACGCUUUUUCUAUACUCUAAGAAUCUUUAUCGAGAUCCCGAUUUUAACAACCAUGGAACUGAUUCUAAAACCAGGCUAGCUUCAAAUGAUUCCUUUGAUUUCUUUGAUUUCUAUGUUGUUUUAUAAUUCCUUCUCUUUGUUUUGGGGUUUCGUUGCUUCCGUUGGUUCUCGCAAUACGGUUGUGGUGUCUGCUCUAGAAACAUGGCGGUGUGUGCGUAGUGGCUGAUAUCAUCAAAUUUGGAGAGGUGAUAUGGCAGCAGAAAAAGCGACCAUCACUCAAACUCUAACAUCAGGGUGAUUUUAUAGCAGUCUUUCCCAAUUCUUGAUAAAAAACAAAAAGCAACUUUUCUGCAGUUGGCAUGUAUAUUAGAGUAGAUGAUAGAUAAUGUUCUCUCUCUCUCAACAUGUAUAUUAGACUUUUCUUUAUCAAUGCAUUUACAUUUGAAUGUUUUAAACAAUUAUACUGUUUUGCCUCCCAUUUUAAACAAGCUAUGUUGAAGUUCUCCCACCAAUGGAGAGACGGGGGUCUAUUGUGUGUACAACGGAAACCAGAAAAUAGACCUAACAUGUCAUCUGUGGUUUUUAUGUUAAAGGGUGAAAAGUUACUUCCGAAACCAAGUAAACCUGGGUUCCAUGCAGAAAGAGAUAAUGCAAACAGUGCAGAAUCUUCUUCAAAGGAGGGUUCAAUAAAUGAAGCUUCAAUCUCAAUGUUAGAGGCCAGAUAGAAUGCCACUGUGCUUGACACUGAUAUGGCUGAAUAAGACUGCUUCAAAACAACUUAUAGAACAUUUUUUUAUGGUUUUGCAGGUGCUGGCUUUAUAGGUGUUGGUUUUGCUGGUGCUAUUGGCGCUGCAGCUGGUGAUUGAGCUAAACUGGUACUAGAAAUGAGAGCAAGACAAUUUCCUUCAUUUUCUUUUCUUAAUGGUAAUUGAAGGCCUUAAAAUUUAGAUUGUUUUGUAGUUUAUGAAAAAUGUAAAGGAAUUGGUGCUUUUAUAGAUGUUAGGUAGUUAGAAAGGUUUAGUUAUGUAAAAUAAGGUAUAGUUGUAUUCUGUGAGGGGAUAUUUUAUCUUUAGGAAGGUUAUGUGUCAAAGUUGAUUGAAAUGUGGAUUUGGCUACUUAUGGAGUUUUGGUCCUGUUAGUGCAAAGCCGGAGUCAGUUUAUGAUGCAGCCGCGCGGUACAAGCUGCGAAGUUCUUGUUCUGUCUCGAAAGGUUGUGGUUUCUUUGCCAUCACAAUGCGGACGGUCUAAAUCUAUAUCAGCUGUUGGUAUUGUAGGUUGCAAUAUCUUAUAUAAUCCUGCAACUUCAUGCUUUGAGAGCUGUAGUAUUUUCUGUCAGUAUAAGGUGUAUCAGCUGUUGAUUUUUAGGAAUCAAUCAUUUUAGUUUCUGCAAUAUUUGUUUUAGGGCAGUACUGGUAGUGUGGAGUUGUUAAACCCUGUUUAUUGUAUUUUGUGGACUUGGUGUAAUAGGCAUUUUUUAUGCCUUUAUUGUUCUGGUAUAUAAUUAAUUUUGCCUUUUAAAAAAAAAAUACAGAAAAGGAAGAACCUCUCUAAUCAUUCAGGUAAGAUGGAUGUGAAAUCAAAUCAAUCACUGUUAAGAAAGUUGUAGCAGUGUUCAUAUGGUUAAACAAUUCCUCUAGACAGCUAGAUAUCAAAACUAAGUUGAAGUUCUUCUGAUUAUUUUCAAAUGGAAUUUGUACCUUUCAAAGUUACUUUGCCUAAAAUCAUGACAUUUUCUCAAUUCAAUUUAUUUUACAAAUAUGCUAGAUCCAACACCCCAAGAAUGUUGAUGAUUGAAUUAUCAUUCGAAAUAUAGGCUUAUUGAACCGAAGGCCUAAUAACAAAUGGAAAUUACUGAUUAAUUUUGAUGUAUGGAAUAUCUUCCAAACUUAUAACUUAAUGGUGCAUCUUUUUU
This is a long non-coding RNA of Vicia villosa (hairy vetch), 6010 nucleotides long. RefSeq lists it as uncharacterized. NCBI's taxonomy places the organism in Eukaryota, Viridiplantae, Streptophyta, Magnoliopsida, Fabales, Fabaceae. The record is from RefSeq and is a predicted model, not a curated record. The transcript is spliced from 5 exons.